This 393-nucleotide ribosomal RNA is filed under the name uncultured bacterium. Its description in RNAcentral is "bacterial SSU rRNA". It matches the Rfam family "Bacterial small subunit ribosomal RNA", at positions 30 to 425 of the family's 1533-position model. The record is from RNAcentral.
AUUGAACGCUGGCGGCAUGCCUUACACAUGCAAGUCGAACGGCAGCACGGGAGCAAUCCUGGUGGCGAGUGGCGAACGGGUGAGUAAUGUAUCGGAACGUACCUUUCAGUGGGGGAUAACGUAGCGAAAGUUACGCUAAUACCGCAUAUUCUGUGAGCAGGAAAGCAGGGGAUCGCAAGACCUUGCGCUGAUUGAGCGGCCGAUAUCAGAUUAGCUAGUUGGUGAGGUAAAGGCUCACCAAGGCGACGAUCUGUAGCGGGUCUGAGAGGAUGAUCCGCCACACUGGAACUGAGACACGGUCCAGACUCCUACGGGAGGCAGCAGUGGGGAAUUUUGGACAAUGGGGGCAACCCUGAUCCAGCCAUGCCGCGUGAGUGAAGAAGGCCUCGGUUG